Small nucleolar RNA from Dioscorea cayenensis subsp. rotundata (Guinea yam), 107 nucleotides. Lineage: Eukaryota; Viridiplantae; Streptophyta; Magnoliopsida; Dioscoreales; Dioscoreaceae. The record is from RefSeq and is a predicted model, not a curated record.
AGAUUUUGGUGUGGACACUUCCUCAACAACUCCUUAAAUCUUUCCCAUGGCUCAAACAUAUAUUCUGCGUCCAACUGUACAAAAGAAGUAAUCUCCUAAUGCAAAUU